Long non-coding RNA from Sciurus carolinensis (gray squirrel), 1135 nucleotides. RefSeq lists it as uncharacterized. The transcript has 6 exons. The record is from RefSeq and is a predicted model, not a curated record. Lineage: Eukaryota; Metazoa; Chordata; Mammalia; Rodentia; Sciuridae.
GUAAAAACUUUGCUCUGCCAUGUGUUUCCUGCCGUGAUCUACUCUCUCCUCUAAGGCCCAGAAGCAAUGAGGUCAACCAACCAUGGACUAAAACUCCAAAAUUAGUUUUCUGUUCAAGACCCUGGUAAUGAAAUAGAACAUCAGCCAGAUGGGUAGAUAUUCGCUAAAAGUUUAAUUAGUAAAAGGAAAAAAAUAAUUCCCUGUCAAGGGGCCUAUGUGGGGUUGCUCUCUACCAAGACGCGGAUGUACUGCUUGACUGUCCUCAUGAGCUACUGAGGAGAACUAAUGGAGAGUUACACUGGGAAUUCCAUCUGCAUCCUCCUGCCUCUGAGACUGCCCUGUGACAGGAGUGAGGAGGAGGCAGUUGGAUUGCAUGCUCUGGAUCCUAGUGAUGCUUCAUGUGCUUAGGAGCAAGGCUGCCCUGGGAGACUCUUGGACUGACAAAAAUUUCCAGAGAAGGACUGAGCCUUCAGGGAUGCUAAAGAGGAAGAAGGUAACCACAACCUCGUCUGAGAUCUUAAUCUUUGUAUUGCUGAAGCUUGAGUUAAUACCACUCUGGCCUGACCAUAUCUGACCAUAUUCCAGACUGCAGAAACCACAGGACUGGGGCUAUGAAUGUCCACUUCUCUAGGUAGGCAAGGCUUCCACCAGCAGAGAAUAUGGCUUCUUCUAUCCCAAGGAUCCUUGGACCAAACCACUUCCUCUCCUCCCAGAAGAAAGGAAGGGAUUCUUUUUUAAAAAUAUUUUUUAGUUGUAGAUAGACACAGCACUUUUAUUUUAUUUAUUUAUUUUAUGUGGUACUAAAGAUUGAAUCCAGCCCCUCACACGUGCUAGGCAACUACUCUACCACUGAGCCACAACCCCAACCCAAGGAGGGGGUUCUUUCCAUGGGGACCUUUCUGUUUUUCUAGGGAUAAUACAGCACAAUCUUCUCCUCCUCACACCAGCCCAGGGGCUUCAUCUGGGACCUGGAAUCACAGUGUGGCCAGGGCCUACUGUCUAUGGACCAUGACUGCCUACAUUCUGGUUGCAUAUUUUUCUUUGUUCUCCUGUGUCCAGUGACCAAUUUCCCCAUCUUUGUAAAUGUCAGACUUACUACUUCUUCUUUUUGCUUUUAGCUGUUUUAUUACUUCAU